This 950-nucleotide long non-coding RNA is filed under the name Pan paniscus (pygmy chimpanzee). RNAcentral describes it as "lncRNA (ENSPPAG00000044391.1)". The record is from RNAcentral. Lineage: Eukaryota; Metazoa; Chordata; Mammalia; Primates; Hominidae.
GGGUGAUCUCUGAUACUCACUGUCACUCACUGUGUGCUGGCCAUGUCCCAUCACCAAUGAGGCGAGCAGAAUCACCUCGUUCACAGAGGGGAGAAGCUGAGAUCACAGCCUGGAGGGCAGGCACAGGCCCCUGAGCAGGGCAGAAGCCACGGCAGGCUGCCUUCUAGGGCUGCCAUCCAACUUCAGAGCCCCCAACCGACCACGGAGGUGCACUGACAAGCUGUCCUCUGAGAACCUGAGGAGUUUUGAGGCUAGGAUCUGUCUAUCCCGCUCACUGGGGCCCAGUCCCAUCUGGGAGAUAGUGCCACAGAAGCUGCUGGCUCACUAAAAAUUAAACCUUCCUCCAGCUAAGUCCAGGGCACAGACUGAAAGGACCACGCUUCACUGACUGCUUGUGAGGAGGCGUGACCGUGCCCGGCCAGGCCCUGAGUUGCUGAGCCUCUUGACGGGGGGGUGAGGGCAAAUGCGGGUGCCCCAGGCAGAGCGGGGAGGACGAGGGGGAGAAGGGCUGUGCUCUGCCGAGGGCGGGUUUGCAGGGAAAAGGUUUUAGUUUCUGUUUUUUAUUAAGGUGAGAUACAUGUAAGAUGAAGCAUUUAAAACUAUAUAGCACAACUCAGAAGCAUUUAGUAUCUCCCCAGAAGCACGCAGCCAUCACCCUUUCCAGUCUUAAAACAUGUCCAUCACCCCUAAAGGAGAGCCUGUGGGGAUUUUGGAGCUGUGACCCUGACCACCUCCUCCAGAAAGUGCCAUUCAGAAAGCUCGCCAGCGAGAAGAGAGCUCCACGCUCAGCCUCAGAAGAAAGACGUUCAACGACUUACUGGGGAGAGAAAGAAAAGGAACGGGAGCUGAGAGGUAAGAUCAAACUGGAGGGUGUGCGGGCCCUCUGGGAUGCCUUGCAUGGAAGAGAGGUAGCCCCGACUUUGUGUCCUGAAGGGUGGCGCUCUAAGUAG